This 72-nucleotide transfer RNA is filed under the name Ipomoea nil (Japanese morning glory). It matches the Rfam family "tRNA". Rfam says of the family: Transfer RNA (tRNA) molecules are approximately 80 nucleotides in length. Their secondary structure includes four short double-helical elements and three loops (D, anti-codon, and T loops). Further hydrogen bonds mediate the characteristic L-shaped molecular structure. tRNAs have two regions of fundamental functional importance: the anti-codon, which is responsible for specific mRNA codon recognition, and the 3' end, to which the tRNAs corresponding amino acid is attached (by aminoacyl-tRNA synthetases). tRNAs cope with the degeneracy of the genetic code in two manners: having more than one tRNA (with a specific anti-codon) for a particular amino acid; and 'wobble' base-pairing, i.e. permitting non-standard base-pairing at the 3rd anti-codon position. Lineage: Eukaryota; Viridiplantae; Streptophyta; Magnoliopsida; Solanales; Convolvulaceae. The record is from Rfam by way of RNAcentral.
UCCGUUGUCAUCCAGCGGUUAGGAUAUCUGUUUUCCACCCAGGAAACCCGGAUUCAAUUCCCGGAAACGGAA